UGGGGAAUAUUGCACAAUGGAGGGAACUCUGAUGCAGCGACGCCGCGUGAGUGAUGAAGGAAUUCGUUUCGUAAAACUCUGUUCUAUGGGAAGAAAAGGACUGUACCAUAGGAGAAAGCUCCGGCUAAAUACGUGCCAGCAGCCGCGGUAAUACGUAUGGAGCGAGCGUUGUCCGGAAUUAUUGGGCGUAAAGGGUGCGCAGGCGGCUUUACAAGUUGGAUGUGAAAUAUUGUGGCUCAACCACAAACGUGCGUCCAAAACUGCAAAGCUUGAGUUAAGGAGAGGUAAGUGGAAUUCCUGGUGUAGCGGUGGAAUGCGUAGAUAUCAGGAGGAAUACCGGUGGCGAAGGCGACUUACUGGACUUAAACUGACGCUCAGGCACGAAAGCGUGGGGAGCAAACAGG
Molecule: ribosomal RNA, 404 nt
Filed under: Fusobacteriota bacterium
Lineage: Bacteria; Fusobacteriati; Fusobacteriota
Description: Fusobacteria bacterium partial 16S ribosomal RNA
Rfam family: Bacterial small subunit ribosomal RNA
Source: RNAcentral